This 478-nucleotide long non-coding RNA is filed under the name Triticum aestivum (bread wheat). Its description in RNAcentral is "long non-coding RNA (TAES_LNC014066)". The record is from RNAcentral. Lineage: Eukaryota; Viridiplantae; Streptophyta; Magnoliopsida; Poales; Poaceae.
UUAUUGAACAAAAAAGUUGGAGGCCAGGCCCAACCAAUAUCGAUACAAAAAAAUUAUGAAUGUACAUAUGAGGAGGGGAGUUGCUGUUCAGAGCUAGCUAAACAGAACCGUGCUGUCCAUUGUUCAUGGAAUUGAUCAGAGCAACUUAUAGAUGUUUUUUAGUACUAAAGUUGACUAGCAGCUUGCAGAUGCUCCUCUUCCUAGUUUCAACAAGAGUACAUAGACAUGUUGACACGGCUGGUUAACUUCCCUGCAUUAAGUAGCUAGUUAACAAAAGUUCAUGUAUUAGUUAGUUUAAACUUUAGCAUGAGUAUGGAGCCGCGACACAGCUAGUUAACAUCAUGUGUUACCUAGCUAACCCACUGUUUCAACUAAAUAAAACUAAAAAAAUCAUGAAUAUUUAUAGAAAAAGGUUACUAACCAUUGUAGCAACUUCUUCAAAAAGCGAACCCUCUCAUGCUUCCGUGUCAGUGAUUCC